Pelobates cultripes (western spadefoot toad) is the source of this 217-nucleotide non-coding RNA. NCBI's taxonomy places the organism in Eukaryota, Metazoa, Chordata, Amphibia, Anura, Pelobatidae. The record is from the annotation of a GenBank genome assembly.
GAAUUACUUCACAAUUAUCUCCCCGGGCAGAGCAGAGGGUCCUGGGUAAUAAAAGGGGAAUGGCUAAGUGUAUACCCUAUGAUUGGCUGCUACAAUGUCCUUGUCACGGUCUCCCAUUUGGUCCCCUAGGGGAGUGUCCACCAGAUGGGAGACCUGCAUAAAAGCCGGGCAUGUAGCCCACAUUAAAUCAGAUUCCUGCUGACCCUCAAUACGGAGC